CAAUGGCUUUAUUUGGGGACUGCCCCUGCAGCCCCCUCCCCAGCACCCGGCACCCAUCCUGCCCCUCCCCGAGUCCUUGUCCCCCCACUUUGCCACAGCCCAGCCCCGGCCCCCCCAGAUCCCACUGGAGGAGCCGGGGCCGCAUCCUGCCCCGGGGGCACAGGGGAGCUGCUGGGGCUGGGGGGGCUCAGGCACUGGGACUCUUCAUGUCACCCAGAGCCACCGAGGCUGCUCCCGCUGCUCCUCCUCACCCACCUCGUCUCCCGCAGCACCCGCAGCGGCAGCACAUCACCACCCCGAUGGCCACCGCGGUGAAGGCGGCCACGAGGACACACACCACCAUGAUCAUGUCCGGCUCCUCGCUCCUGGGGACCUCUGUGGAGCAUCACGGGCACAGGAUGGGAUUCCCCCAGGCUGGGGCACCCCAAAGUGCAGAGCAAGGACCACCACAUCCCACCCAGGGGCUGCUCCAGGUGAUGGACACCCGGGAAUAGGGGGGGAUCCCCCAAACCGGCUGUUGUGUCCCCCCUCAGCACCAGCCCCACUCACCGGCCGCCGUGGGCUGCAGGACCAGGCUGCAGAGGAGCUGCCGGGGGGCAGCACCGGCCACGUAGCAGGAGUAAUUCCCGAAGUCGGGAUCGCUGAGGUUCCUCAGGAGCAGGGCCAGGCCGGCGGCCCCCGGCCCCGUGGCGCAGAAGGACACCCUGCCCCUAAACUGGUUGUCGGGCUCCUCCGGUGGGAUCCAGCCCGGCUCCGGCGGGAGCCAGCCCAGGCGGUGCCGGAGGACGGGAAUGGGGUGGUGGGUCCCAUUCUGGUGGGUGCAGCUGAGGGUGACCCCCCGUAGGUGACCCCAUGGCUGGGUGCUGCAGGGCAGGCAGGCGUCAUCCCCGAUGGAUGCGGUGACGGUGACGGGGGGCUGGUCUGUGGGCAGCCAGGGCCCAGAGCAUCACGAUGGGGAACAGCACCAUCCUGCCGGCAUCCGGACCCACCACC
Molecule: long non-coding RNA, 993 nt
Filed under: Strigops habroptila (Kakapo)
Lineage: Eukaryota; Metazoa; Chordata; Aves; Psittaciformes; Psittacidae
Description: lncRNA (ENSSHBG00005012351.1)
Source: RNAcentral